RNAcentral lists this ribosomal RNA (1136 nucleotides) under Halocynthia spinosa. Its description in RNAcentral is "large ribosomal RNA". The stretch from base 742 to 1072 matches the Rfam family "Archaeal large subunit ribosomal RNA", at positions 2153 to 2713 of the family's 2987-position model. The record is from RNAcentral. Lineage: Eukaryota; Metazoa; Chordata; Ascidiacea; Stolidobranchia; Pyuridae.
UUAGUGUUUUAUUUGUUUUGUGUUUUAGUGAGUUGAUUCAUCUUUUGUUGGGGUAUUGGUGAGAGAUAUUUUUUUGAUUUAUCGUGAGAGAGACUAAUUAAAACGGUUUAGAUGGUUUGUUUGUUUUUGCCUUUUGUAUAAUGAGUGGAUGAGUCGUAGUGCAAUGUGUUUUGGUAUGCUCGAAUAAAAUUGAUUUAUCUAGGCUUGGGGUUUGUGGCGUUGAAAUGUGGCUUAUUUUUAGGUCUAGAUAGUGGUGACAUGUUAAUCGUAUUUUUUGAUAGCUAGGGGUUGCAGUUGUUUUAUGUAAAAGAAGCAGUCUGUGUGUUGCUUUUAAAAAUCAGGGACAGCUUGGUUUUUUAUGGAAUAAGGCAUGUGUUUGGUGUUAUUAUUGUUAUUGAAUUUUGAAUGGAGUUUGGUGCUUUGCUUUGUAACUUUUAUUAUGUUUAUAUGAGUAUUUUGGUAUAUUGUGGGUUUAAAUUUUUGAAAUUUAUUUGAUGUUUUUUGUUUUAUUUGAAAUUGAGGAAUUUUGUUGCAUCGUGUAUGUUUAAUAAAAGCUUUGUCUGACGAUUUUUAUGUUAGAUUCCACCAGCUCAGUGAGCUUGUCUUUUACAGGAUUUUUUGUUUUAAAGUAGCAAAGUAAUUUGGCUGUUAAUUGUAGUCUAGUGAGGGUGUGUCGUGGUGUGAUUUUCUUAGUUUUGUUUAAAGAAAUUUCUUUUUGGUGAAAAUGCCAAGUGUAUUAUUUUAGAAAAAAAGACCCUGGGUGGUUGAGGCUAAUCGACAAGCUUUUAGUCGAAAACCUUGGGCUGGGGCAGCUGUGGAUGAUUUAAAUUUCUAAUAUUUUAGGCUAUUUUGUAGUGUUGGUUGAUGAUCCCUGUGAGGGAAUGGAAGAACCAUCCCCAGGGAUAACAGCGCAAUUAAUUAGGAGAGUGCAUAUUAAUUAAUUAGUUUACGACCUCGAUGUCGACUUAGAUUUUCCUGAACGUGCAGAAGUGUUGAGGGUUUGUUUGUUCACCAAUUAAAAAUUUACGUGAGUUGGGUUUAGAACGGGGUGACUUAGUUCGGAUUUUUUCUAGAAUUGUAUAAUCCGUUAGUACGAAAGGAACGUGUGUUAGUAGUGAUAUGUUUGUGAUAGUUUG